GACGGAGGGGGCUAGCGUUGUUCGGAAUUACUGGGCGUAAAGCGCGCGUAGGCGGUUUUUUAAGUUGGGUGUGAAAGCCCGGGGCUUAACCCCGGAAAUGCGCCCAAGACUGGGAGACUGGAGUCCGGGAGAGGUGGGUAGAAUUCCGAGUGUAGAGGUGAAAUUCGUAGAUAUUCGGAGGAAUACCGGUGGCGAAGGCGGCCCACUGGACCGGUACUGACGCUGAGGCGCGAAAGCGUGGGGAGCAAACAGG
This 253-nucleotide ribosomal RNA is filed under the name uncultured bacterium. Its description in RNAcentral is "partial 16S ribosomal RNA". It matches the Rfam family "Bacterial small subunit ribosomal RNA", at positions 524 to 776 of the family's 1533-position model. The record is from RNAcentral.